UGAUGACGUCGCCGUCAGAGAUCGGUGUUCCCUCACCGUUACUGCGUCGCUGUCGAUAAAGCUUCUAUCGCCGCCGUGAAUUGCGAACAGAGGAGAGUGAGAGAGGCCGAAGAUGCGAGAGAGAAGAGGUGAUGAAUGAAGUCGUCCCUGAAGCCUUGGCCGUCGCUACCAGAGGCGUGGAGGAAGGGAGGCAGAACCGUGAGAUAGAGGAUGCACUGUGACUAUCAUUGCUGCUGCGAGUGUGGUCCACCGUGAAGUUGCACGCCGCCAUCGCCAUCGGAAACCACCGUUGGAACUACCACUAUUUUGGUAAACUUACCCUGUUUUUGAGUCUUCCUUGUCGCCCAAUUUGUCUCUACUGUGAAGCCUGUCAUUGAGACUAUUUGUAUUAAACAAAAUUAUCACUGUGAGUUACUCUGCACCGCCGCAGCUGCCACCGAGGUCAUUGGUGCUUGUAAAGAGUGCUAUUCUGGUUCUAAAUUGAUUAGUUCAUGCCACUGUUGCUGCUGAGAAGUGAUCAGAAAUGGCACUGCUGUUAGUUUGGUUCAAGGUUGUUGUUGCCACUGCGAAUUAAAAAUAAAAGAAGGCUGUGUUGUGUUUGAUUAUCGAAUUCCGGCUAGUCGAGGGACGUCCACGAACUGAGGAUCACUGUUUCCCCUUGUGCGUAUAUUAUGGGGUCGGGCUUUGCACCGACUGCUGGUAGUCACGAAGGAGUGGUAUUCUUACCACCGACACAUAUGCACUAAGGACACAAAGGGAAGCCAUAUCUGGGACUUGUUCCUAAGUAUUGUCGGGCUGUAGGGUGUAAACCGACACGUGAGCUCAUGGCCUGCUUAGGACAGACAUGCAUCAUAUUGGUUGUGCAUUUGCUUUUGGUUGUGUUUGCUUGUAUUAUUUCUCUGCGAUUGUGUUGUUUGUUUUAUUGUGAUUUGUUUGUCUGUUGAAUUGAGUUUCUUACUUGUGCUAGUAGUCUGUGAAUAUAUAGAACUGAUUAAUAACUGUUUGUUGUGACUGAGAAUCAAUUGUGAUUGAGAUUCAAUUAUGUGGCUAA
Molecule: long non-coding RNA, 1051 nt
Organism: Arachis ipaensis
Lineage: Eukaryota; Viridiplantae; Streptophyta; Magnoliopsida; Fabales; Fabaceae
Source: RefSeq, a predicted model, not a curated record